CCUACGGGAGGCAGCAGUCGAGAAUCAUUCACAAUGGGGGAAACCCUGAUGGUGCGACGCCGCGUGGGGGAAUGAAGGUCUUCGGAUUGUAAACCCCUGUCAUGUGGGAGCAAAUUAAAAAGAUAGUACCACAAGAGGAAGAGACGGCUAACUCUGUGCCAGCAGCCGCGGUAAUACAGAGGUCUCAAGCGUUGUUCGGAAUCACUGGGCGUAAAGCGUGCGUAGGCUGUUUCGUAAGUCGUGUGUGAAAGGCGCGGGCUCAACCCGCGGACGGCACAUGAUACUGCGAGACUAGAGUAAUGGGAGGGGAACCGGAAUUCGCGGGGUAGCAAUGAAAUGCGGAGAUAUCGGGAGGAACACUCGUGGCGAAGGCGGGUUCCUGGACAUUAACUGACGCUGAGGCACGAAGGCCAGGGGAGCGAAAGGGAUUAGAUACCCCGGGUAGUC
This 447-nucleotide ribosomal RNA is filed under the name uncultured bacterium. RNAcentral's name for it is "partial 16S ribosomal RNA". It matches the Rfam family "Bacterial small subunit ribosomal RNA", at positions 338 to 795 of the family's 1533-position model. The record is from RNAcentral.